GGGGGGGAAUGUGUCCCGGUGGAUGCCUCGGUCUUCAAAACCGCUGGCAGGUGGCGCUGAGCCGGCUGCGGUGGGUUCGACUCCCAUACCCUCCCGC
This 97-nucleotide transfer RNA is filed under the name Chloroflexota bacterium. RNAcentral describes it as "Chloroflexi bacterium (mine drainage metagenome) tRNA-Sec". It matches the Rfam family "Selenocysteine transfer RNA". RNAcentral also lists the same sequence under 1 other name. Lineage: Bacteria; Bacillati; Chloroflexota. The record is from RNAcentral.